This is a non-coding RNA of Maribacter arcticus, 65 nucleotides long. Lineage: Bacteria; Pseudomonadati; Bacteroidota; Flavobacteriia; Flavobacteriales; Flavobacteriaceae. The record is from Rfam.
UAUCUUUGCGCCCUGAUUGAAAACCAAUCACGUACAUAAAAAUCAUUUAAAAUAAUAUUGGAAUG